UUAGGAAUCUUGCGCAAUGGGCGAAAGCCUGACGCAGCGACGCCGCGUGGAGGACGAAGUCCCUAGGGAUGUAAACUCCUUUUGUGAGGGAAGAACACAAUGACGGUACCUCACGAAUAAGCCCCGGCUAACUACGUGCCAGCAGCCGCGGUAAUACGUAGGGGGCGAGCGUUGUCCGAAGUUACUGGGCGUAAAGCGCGCGUAGGCGGGCUGUUAAGUGAGGGGUGAAAUACCGGGGCUCAACCCCGGAACUGCCUUUCAUACUGGCAGUCUUGAGGGCGGUAGGGAGAAGUGGAAUGGCUGGUGUAGCGGUGAAAUGCGUAGAUACCAGUCGGAACACCGGUGGCGAAGGCGGCUUCUUGGGCCGUUCCUGACGCUGAGGCGCGAAAGCCAGGGGAGCAAACGGG
RNAcentral lists this ribosomal RNA (407 nucleotides) under uncultured bacterium. RNAcentral's name for it is "bacterial SSU rRNA". It matches the Rfam family "Bacterial small subunit ribosomal RNA", at positions 355 to 776 of the family's 1533-position model. The record is from RNAcentral.